UUAGGCUCCAAAGGCUGCAACGCGAAACAUGGAAAAGAAGCAUGUUCUAUGUGCAGUGUCCUCCACUUGACGUUUUAAUUCCAACUCUAACCACCAAAGUGGAAACAAGAAGCAUCAGAUGAACAUCACAAGGGCAAUGAGUAAUGUGAGACAAACCAAAAUCAUCAUAUGAGAUCUCUGCUACUGUAUAUAAUUUUCCAAAAUUCUGUCUGCGACAUUGACGAGGAGGAGGCUCCGGCGAAAGGUCUAUCAGCGCUCUCAUGAAAUAUGCUGGAAAUUGGAGAAUUUUCUGGAAGGAAGAAAAGGGAACAGUUUCUGCAGUUAAACUCUUGCAUCCAUUUGUGCAAAACCUGGAUAAGUAUUUGGUGUCCAUAUUAGCAGCAGUCAUGCCUUCUAAGAAAUGCCGGAAACAAAUGGUGGUGGCCUGUGCACGUGGUUAUUUGCAGAAGCUCGUCGGGUGGGGUGGCGCAAGUUUAUGGGGACUCUUUCUCAGGCCUUAAGUUGAGCAACAACAGAAGAGGCUAUAAAAAAAUUGAUGUUAGCAAAUCUAACACAAAAGUGCUGAGUAUACAAUGAAGCUGAUGAGAGCAAUCCAGGAGAGUGUGGUUGUUAGGACUAACGGAGAGUGAAUAUCCAGAUUUCAGCAUUGAAGAGAAGUUAAAUUCUUUUGUUGCGUUGAUUGAUCUACUCAGAGUUGGUUCCAGUAUCAAAAUGGAGGGCUAAAGAUACAACCCAGAAUCAGAGUCGGCC
This is a non-coding RNA of Sesamum indicum (sesame), 750 nucleotides long. The record is from RefSeq and is a predicted model, not a curated record. NCBI's taxonomy places the organism in Eukaryota, Viridiplantae, Streptophyta, Magnoliopsida, Lamiales, Pedaliaceae.